GCCUCCAUAGCUCAGUUUGGUUAGAGCAUGAGACUCUUAAUCUCAGGGUCGCGGGUUCGAGCCCCGCUGGAGGCU
This is a transfer RNA of Salpingoeca sp., 75 nucleotides long. It matches the Rfam family "tRNA". Rfam says of the family: Transfer RNA (tRNA) molecules are approximately 80 nucleotides in length. Their secondary structure includes four short double-helical elements and three loops (D, anti-codon, and T loops). Lineage: Eukaryota; Choanoflagellata; Craspedida; Salpingoecidae. The record is from Rfam.